This 900-nucleotide ribosomal RNA is filed under the name uncultured Anoxybacillus sp. RNAcentral describes it as "bacterial SSU rRNA". It matches the Rfam family "Bacterial small subunit ribosomal RNA", at positions 72 to 960 of the family's 1533-position model. The record is from RNAcentral. Lineage: Bacteria; Bacillati; Bacillota; Bacilli; Caryophanales; Anoxybacillaceae.
AUAGAAGCUUGCUUCUAUUCGGUUAGCGGCGGACGGGUGAGUAACACGUGGGCAACCUGCCCUGUAGACGGGGAUAACACCGAGAAAUCGGUGCUAAUACCGGAUAAUACGGAAUGUCGCAUGACGUUUCGUUGAAAGGCGGCGCAAGCUGUCGCUACAGGAUGGGCCCGCGGCGCAUUAGCUAGUUGGUGAGGUAACGGCUCACCAAGGCGACGAUGCGUAGCCGACCUGAGAGGGUGAUCGGCCACACUGGGACUGAGACACGGCCCAGACUCCUACGGGAGGCAGCAGUAGGGAAUCUUCCGCAAUGGACGAAAGUCUGACGGAGCAACGCCGCGUGAGCGAAGAAGGCCUUCGGGUCGUAAAGCUCUGUUGUUAGGGAAGAACAAGUAGCGCAGUAACUGGCGUUACUUUGACGGUACCUAACGAGGAAGCCACGGCUAGCUACGUGCCAGCAGCCGCGGUAAUACGUAGGUGGCAAGCGUUGUCCGGAAUUAUUGGGCGUAAAGCGCGCGCAGGCGGCUUCUUAAGUCAGGUGUGAAAGCCCACGGCUCAACCGUGGAGGGCCAUCUGAAAACUGGGGAGCUUGAGUGCAGGAGAGGAGAGCGGAAUUCCACGUGUAGCGGUGAAAUGCGUAGAGAUGUGGAGGAACACCAGUGGCGAAGGCGGCUCUCUGGCCUGUAACUGACGCUGAGGCGCGAAAGCGUGGGGAGCAAACAGGAUUAGAUACCCUGGUAGUCCACGCCGUAACGAUGAGUGCUAGGUGUUGGGGAGUCCACCUCCUCAGUGCCGCAGCUAACGCAAUAAGCACUCCGCCUGGGGAGUACGGCCGCUAGGCUGAAACUCAAGGAAUUGACGGGACCCGCACAGCGGUGGAGCAUGUGGUUAAAUCUAAGCAAC